Molecule: long non-coding RNA, 5156 nt
Organism: Oxyura jamaicensis (ruddy duck)
Lineage: Eukaryota; Metazoa; Chordata; Aves; Anseriformes; Anatidae
Exons: 7
Source: RefSeq, a predicted model, not a curated record
UAACUUUGUAUGUUGGUUUAGGUUUUUCUUUUUUUUUUCUCAUCAGAGGAAAGCUCAAGAAACUAGACCUGAAGGAGAUAACCUUUCGCAGGUGGAGGAAUGGUGACUUUCUGGAGAGGAUGAUAAAUGUUGGAACUUUUGCCAGGUGCUUCGUGUCUCCCAGGCUCAUUUCUUGUGGAAGCAGAGCGGCAGGCUCUCAGAGUGCCACAGGCACCAGGACUGGAGUCUCACAUGGUGCUCCAGGACAUCAGCAUCACACAAACUCUGCACCUCUGACAGCGACAGCCCUGAACUAGCAAAACCAGCGUGUCCUCAGCUUCUGGGGGUGCUUUCUGUGAAGGUGUGGGCUUUCUCACUGUAAACAUUUUUCUGAGCAGCAAUACUAAGAACGGGGAAUCCUCUGUAUGUGAAGCACAACCUCCGAUUAGAAGCUAAAUUCAUAUUUUGCUAUCCACUACUUUAAUUCUCUCUUUUUCCUCUAGAGUUGCUCUUCGCAAAUCUUUUCCCCGCCUGGGAAGUGGUGCUGCAGAUCCCCGGCUCCUUGCAGUCACACCAUUCAAUUUGUUUGGAAGUACAAGCUGCAGUUUUACAAACAGUUACCGUUCGGUUGUAUCUGGGGACGUUAUCACUGGGACAAGUGAAAGGUCUGUUCUUUAUCUGAAGAUAAAUUUUAGCUAGCAGUUUUUACUCCCUUGUUGCAAAGAAUUAAGGCACUAGAACUUUGUAAACUGAAGGGCUCAGAGAUUGUUUGAGAAAACCCUUGAGCACUGUUUGUUUCCCAGACCUCCUUCUCUGCAACAGGCGAGCCAAGGAGACUGAAAGAGUUUUGAAGUGGCCUAAAUCGGACCGAGGCAGGCAUUUGCUUAUCAAAGAGGGAAUUUUGCAAUACUAUGGUCUCUCUCCCAACAACGCCCGCUGCUAAGGUACACAUGAAAGGCAGGUAGGGUCUGCGCCCAGAGCCUUGAAGGAAAAGGUGAAUGUCCAUUUUGCAUAUCCCAUUUGUGUGCUAAAUGGCAGCGGUAUCUUAAAUAGGGCUACAGUGGCAAUUAAAAUAAUGAGAUACAUAAAAGACACCUGCUUUAAAUAAAUACAGUAAUCUGCCCAAAGCUCCUGAAUGGACUGGUAUUCAGCAAGAGCCCUGAACCUGCAUACAUACCUAUGCUUAACAACAUAAUCAUUAAAGAACAGAAACCUUUCCUUCUAAUCCCCCUCAUACAGGACAACAUGUGGAUGUUAGCAUAUUUGGACUGCUUUGCAUUCCUUCUUGCCUGCUUUUGAGAACAUACUACAUUUUAAAACUUGUUGGGUUCUUUCAUGUUUUAUUUGACCCUAUGUAAUUGCAUUCCUGAAGGAAUAACAGGCUCCCACAGUGAUUUAUACCCUGUAUUAAAUGUCAGUUUUGAAGAGACACAGUUAGCAGUUUGGUUUAACCUCCUGCCUUCCUAUGUAAGUUCAAAACUGAAGUGGAGCUCGGGAUCCAAGGGGAAAAGUAAAAAGAUGAAAAUGGACUUAGAGGCAGUGCGGAAUGAGGCGUAUGUGUUCCUGGCCCCUCACCUUUAGCCACCAGAACGAGAUUUCAGAAAGCCAUCUCUAUUUUUAACUGUAAUUUGUGUACUUCCCCGCUGCCCUUGACCAGUUGUGAAGGCUGUAAAUUAGGGCGAAGCGCUCUGCUUUCUCCGGGCAGACGACUGCAGAGGCUCCAACAAUGGGGCCGGAAUAUUUGUGCUGCAAAAUCAACCAAAUCAACCCAGUGGGGUUGGCCUGUGUCCCAAUAAGAAGGUCAGCAAAAUAAAUUGUCCUUGUAAUUAAGACUUGCUCCUUUGUUUUUGUGUGUGUAACUGUGCGUAAAUAGCAAAGCGGGCUAGGUAUGUUAUUACUGUUUUAAAUAUUUCAUUCCCUUUGUAGAUUUCCCUACGACACAGUUAACAACUGCUUAAUCACAUGUUAUGACCUAAUUAUGGGGGAUUCAGCUAAAUAAAUCUUGAUGUAAUGCUAUAUUCUUGAUGUAAUGGCACUCUGACGGCCGCUUUUAUGCAUUUAAAUGUAAAAGUAAAUGCAGUUCGGAUCUGACACAUGACUUAAAUGGUAAUCGUUGGUAGAGUCACAGCUGAAACAAGUAUCAGGGGGAGUUCUUUAAACACUAGCACUGUACAUACACACCUAAUUCCUAUGCCCAGGAAAUAAACAUUCUGGUGAUCACUUUUUUAACAUGCAGCUGUAAUGGUUCAUUUCUCAGACAGGAGAUUUAGCUGCAGCUGCUCCGAGGAGGAUCCUGUUUUCACACUGAAAGCAAUAGAUUUGACCCAUCAAAGCUACUAGCCCAGACUAGUUUUCCCUAAAAUAUCUUUUGCAUAAACAAAUGAAUGCAAAAGUUUUGUGGGGUCAACCCAGGGAACCAUUCGUAGUUGUUCUGAGGCAGGCAAAUGACCAGUUUUUCCACUGAAGUAAUUCAGGGCAUUUCCAUUGCCUUCUGCGAAGCCUCACGUGUCCAUCAGGUGAAUGAUGAGUACAGAACAGAACUGGCCUGCUGUUUGCCAGGCUGGAAGGCUGACAACGAUCUUCUAUUCUGAAGUGAAAAAUGUAGGCGAUAACGUUUUCUUUGGCUUGGGUUUAUCUCGCCCAAGACAGGUGGCUUGAAGCGGUGGAAUAAGUUGCCCUCUGGCAAUGCGUGUCACCGUUGACUGUUCGGGGAGCUAAUACGGCUAACUUAGACCUGAUGCUUGUCUUUCAGAUGGAUAGAGUUAGGUAAGAUGAAUCCUACCGUAUGCACGGUAUUGUGUAUCAGCUUCCCCUGACUCCUAGAUGUGCCGCCAGAUUGCUCCGUGUGCUUGUGCCUUGGUGGGAGACACGCUGGGACAGGUCCUUUGGCAGCCAAAAUACAUCCAGCGGACAACAGGUAAAGGGGUACGGACCUAGGGGUGCAAUUAAUAGCUCAGGAACGUAGCGUGAGAUUUGCCUUUCGUGAGAUCUGCUUUAGGUGGCAAAAUGGUAGGUACCCAUCCCUGCAAUUCUCACGUUUCGUUAUCAGUGGAAGGAAAUAGUUCUGUUUAAUGCUGACAGUGCUAUCAGUCCAAAGUCAAAGGAGCAGGUCCUGAGCAAAAAUGCAUUUGCUUCACAGCCAUGAGACCCCCUUCCCCUACGCUUGCUAGGAUCACCUACGGUAGCUGUCCAACUUCAGGACCAGGAAUAUCCUGUCUUAAACUGAUCAGCAUUUCCUCUCUGGUCUUUAUUUGCUGUCCGUGCUGCCUAGCCAGGGUGGCAGCUUCCACGAGCAGAGCAUUGUCCAUUCACGCAUGAACUGAGCACGGAGUUCAGCUGUCCCUCUUACAGAGUGGGAAAACGUGAAGGUGAACUUGAGUUAAGGCCCUCAGUCUGGCUCUCUGGUUUAAACGGCCCCAUGCACAUUGUGGUGUGGCUGCUUGGUUAUCAUCUGACUUGGGUGGUGACGAUGGACAGGUUGUAGCCCAGGGUAUAACCUUCUUAGCCUCUGAUUCAAAAAGCAGGUUAAACAAUGGCAAACAAAGAAUCUUAAACCAGUGUGAGGAGAGAAAUAGCAAUUCCUGGGCAGCAUUGAUGUAUCAGUGUGAUUUGAUUUAAUUGCACCUUCAGCCACUGCUUGGUCUCAGUAGUAACAAUUAGGAAUUAGAGAACGGGGUGAGGAGUAUCUCCUGGGUUUCUCAAAGAUUUCUGAAAAUAUUAUUCGUAUUUUCCAACCCUUCAAGACUCUAAAAGCUAAAACAACACCAGCAGAGGGAGACAAACCCUGUUACCAGACUAGCCUGGUGUAGCAAGACCUGAAGGAAUCACUGCUUCUUUAUAGGAACCUGACCUGGAAACCUGAAGGAGGAACUCUUGUGAGGUGUUGUGCGCCAUUAAGUCUGCACAUGGGUAGUAGCAUGAAGUAAGGAUAGAAGAAGUCCUCUUAAAAAUAAUAAAAAAUCCUUUGGUACCAUACUGGAUGUUUCAUUGGCCAGAAAUGUUUCCCUUAUUUUGGUUGGGUUGCAUGUGUGUGCGCACACGUUACUUUUCAACUAGAAAAGUGCAGUUACGUUACCUGGAUCUCAGAUGAAAAAUCAGAACGUUUAAAUAAGAUUUUCCCCAAUAUUCUUGCAUUUUACUGAUUUUUUUUUUCCUUUUUGUGGAUGGAAAACUGUAACUGACUUGACCCAAGUAAACAUUUUGGACUUGAUCACACCAGAAGUGUGUUUUCUGUGGGAUAGUUGUUUGAAAUGUUUUAAUCAGACUGAAGUGUGAUGGUUGUGGUUUUUGUGAAGUAAGAAAGCUACCCGGACUUCCACAGAUGCUGGAUUGUGGAGUCCUAUACUGCUAAUGCUUCUAGGUGAAGCCUGCAGCAUCCUUUUGUUCUCGGUGCAUGGGAGGAGUGACGCAUCGACUCAGCCUUUUACUCAAAGUCUGUGUAAAUAGUAAAGCCAGCAGGAGCACCAGACUGCAUGCUUUGGCUAACUUGAAUUGCGUGUGCAAACAUCUGAUCCAGAUUCCUCGUUAAUAGACAUGGAAACAUGGCCUCACGGUAUAGCCAAAUUGUUCAGCUCGCAGAACAAUGAACCUAUAAACGUGGGACAGCAUAAAAUUUUAUAGAAAGAGAGGGAGGGCCAAGAGCAUCUUAAAGCAGGGUGCGCUGAUGGGUCUUGAAAAAGAAGUUCAAGAAGAUCUGUUAAAAGAUUACCGGGACCGGUCUUCCUUUGGCUGUCUGAUCCAAUGGCAAAGGCUCGCUUAUCUUCCAGAAGCCAGAGCCGAGAGGAUGCCCGAGCGCUUCCUCUAAGCAAAGUGAAGGAGGCCAGGGACAAUAUUGUGCCUGAAGAUGAGAGGAUGCUGUAGAUUUCUGCAUUUGAUCUGCUGAAUUUCCACCUGAAUUUUGAUCCCACGGAUCAGGCUGAAGCUUUCCUUACUCCUGCAGAGGCUGCCCCCAGCAUCAGCAGACCCACCUGAGCCAUCAGCCAUAACCCAGUGGGGAAAGCGAUCCUGUGCCACCUUGCCAGGCACGUCGUGAAGGGGUCUGGCGUUGCAAACCCUUCUGCCCAAGUGGGUGAGCAGCCCCUUGUGCCCAAGGUCCCAUCACACACAAGAGAGAGUGAGGCAAGGGAUGUCCUCAGAUGUGCUGCCUUCCUGCAGUUUCUCUUCCUCCUUCUUCAAAU